This 579-nucleotide small RNA is filed under the name Pongo abelii (Sumatran orangutan). RNAcentral's name for it is "retained intron". The record is from RNAcentral. Lineage: Eukaryota; Metazoa; Chordata; Mammalia; Primates; Hominidae.
UAGACCUGUGAUGACUCUGAACUUCAAUCAGAUCUUAAAUUCUUUGGUGAGCAGGACACGAACCAAAAAGAUCCCAGAUCCAGGCACUCAAACUGAAAAGUUUCUUGAUGUGUUUUCCUUGAUGUUAAGAAUGAAGAACCAACCUUUUUCAUUUUCUUUUUCAGAUCUUUUCCUAAUAACUACUGGGACAAGUUUGUAAAGAGAAAGGUGAUCAACAAGUAUGGAGAUCUCUACGGAGCAGAACGCAUUGCUGAGCUUCUGGGUUUGGACAAAAAUGCUCUUGACUUUAGCCCAGUAGAAGAGACCAAAGCAGAAGCGGCUUCUCUGGUGUCAUGGCUAAGUUCCAUAGACAUGAAGUACCAUAUCUGGAAGCUUGGAGUUGUUUUUACUGACAACUCCUUUCUCUACCUUGCCUGGUAUACAACCAUGUCAGUCCUGGGCCACUACAAUAACUUCUUCUUUGCUGCUCACCUAUUGGACAUCGCAAUGGGCUUCAAGACACUGAGGACCAUUCUGUCAUCUGUAACUCAUAAUGGCAAACAGUUGGUUCUGACUGUUGGUCUCCUGGCCGUGGUGGUU